This 1342-nucleotide ribosomal RNA is filed under the name Mycobacteroides abscessus. Its description in RNAcentral is "bacterial SSU rRNA". It matches the Rfam family "Bacterial small subunit ribosomal RNA", at positions 56 to 1414 of the family's 1533-position model. The record is from RNAcentral. Lineage: Bacteria; Bacillati; Actinomycetota; Actinomycetes; Mycobacteriales; Mycobacteriaceae.
UGCAAGUCGAACGGAAAGGCCCUUCGGGGUACUCGAGUGGCGAACGGGUGAGUAACACGUGGGUGAUCUGCCCUGCACUCUGGGAUAAGCCUGGGAAACUGGGUCUAAUACCGGAUAGGACCACACACUUCAUGGUGAGUGGUGCAAAGCUUUUGCGGUGUGGGAUGAGCCCGCGGCCUAUCAGCUUGUUGGUGGGGUAAUGGCCCACCAAGGCGACGACGGGUAGCCGGCCUGAGAGGGUGACCGGCCACACUGGGACUGAGAUACGGCCCAGACUCCUACGGGAGGCAGCAGUGGGGAAUAUUGCACAAUGGGCGCAAGCCUGAUGCAGCGACGCCGCGUGAGGGAUGACGGCCUUCGGGUUGUAAACCUCUUUCAGUAGGGACGAAGCGAAAGUGACGGUACCUACAGAAGAAGGACCGGCCAACUACGUGCCAGCAGCCGCGGUAAUACGUAGGGUCCGAGCGUUGUCCGGAAUUACUGGGCGUAAAGAGCUCGUAGGUGGUUUGUCGCGUUGUUCGUGAAAACUCACAGCUUAACUGUGGGCGUGCGGGCGAUACGGGCAGACUAGAGUACUGCAGGGGAGACUGGAAUUCCUGGUGUAGCGGUGGAAUGCGCAGAUAUCAGGAGGAACACCGGUGGCGAAGGCGGGUCUCUGGGCAGUAACUGACGCUGAGGAGCGAAAGCGUGGGUAGCGAACAGGAUUAGAUACCCUGGUAGUCCACGCCGUAAACGGUGGGUACUAGGUGUGGGUUUCCUUCCUUGGGAUCCGUGCCGUAGCUAACGCAUUAAGUACCCCGCCUGGGGAGUACGGUCGCAAGACUAAAACUCAAAGGAAUUGACGGGGGCCCGCACAAGCGGCGGAGCAUGUGGAUUAAUUCGAUGCAACGCGAAGAACCUUACCUGGGUUUGACAUGCACAGGACGUACCUAGAGAUAGGUAUUCCCUUGUGGCCUGUGUGCAGGUGGUGCAUGGCUGUCGUCAGCUCGUGUCGUGAGAUGUUGGGUUAAGUCCCGCAACGAGCGCAACCCUUGUCCUAUGUUGCCAGCGGGUAAUGCCGGGGACUCGUAGGAGACUGCCGGGGUCAACUCGGAGGAAGGUGGGGAUGACGUCAAGUCAUCAUGCCCCUUAUGUCCAGGGCUUCACACAUGCUACAAUGGCCAGUACAGAGGGCUGCGAAGCCGUAAGGUGGAGCGAAUCCCUUAAAGCUGGUCUCAGUUCGGAUUGGGGUCUGCAACUCGACCCCAUGAAGUCGGAGUCGCUAGUAAUCGCAGAUCAGCAACGCUGCGGUGAAUACGUUCCCGGGCCUUGUACACACCGCCCGUCACGUCAUGAAAGUCGG